GCCUUUGUAGCUCAAUAGGUAGAGCAUCCGCUUGAAGCGCGGUUUGUAUGGGUUCAAGUCCCAUCAUAGGCA
This 72-nucleotide transfer RNA is filed under the name Spathaspora arborariae UFMG-19.1A. Its description in RNAcentral is "tRNA-Phe (GAA) (tRNA-Phe-GAA-2-1)". It matches the Rfam family "tRNA". Rfam says of the family: Transfer RNA (tRNA) molecules are approximately 80 nucleotides in length. The record is from RNAcentral. Lineage: Eukaryota; Fungi; Ascomycota; Pichiomycetes; Serinales; Debaryomycetaceae.